AGGCAGCAGCUAGGGAGGAAGCGGAGGAGGCGGAGGCGGCCGCGGGGUUCGCCCGUCUGCUCGUUCACCGGCUUUCCCCGCCCCUGCCGCUCUCGCUGCCGCUGAAAGGAGCUGGGGGCGCGCUGUCGCAACCUGCCCUCGGCUUGGCUGGCGGCAGUUGAGACCCGACCUGCCUGUACAUCAGCCUUCCUGUCCGGGCGGCGCGGCGUGGGCUCGCGGGCGCCUGAAGGUUACCGAGUGCAUGACUGCCUAGCGCCUCUCGCGCUGUCCCGCCCGCCGGGUCGUCCGCCCGCCAGUCCGCCGGCUUCCCCGCAAGCUCCUCGGCACCCGGCGGCGGCGGCGGCCGCCACGGCGACAACGGCCGCAGGAGGCGCCGUCUCCCGCCCAGGUGCACGUUUAGCUCCCGGCGCCUCGGAACUCGGCCGCCGCCAUGGCGUCCAACAUGGACCGCGAGAUCAUCCUGGCGGAUUUUCAGCCAUAUUACAUUUGUCAUCUGACACCAAGAUUUGGCCAAGGAAAUGCAAAUGCAAGAUUCUGUGAUCAUGGAAAGGUAUGUAUCUCCAGUUUGCAACAGUUGUAUACGUUUUUGAAAAUGCCCUAGAUUGUACUGUUAUUGGAUUCUGGGAUGCUCCUUCCAAAGAUGCUAAGAUGCUUUCUAAGGUCUUGCUAUCCUGAACAAAGGAUUGGUAAAGACAAGCAAAAAGACAGCAAGGUUUUACAUUUGUUAAAAGUAUUAAAGACAGAAAAAGAAAUGUGGUCUGUUGAGUCAGUGUGGGUCAAUUAGCAGUAAGAAAAGAAAUAUGCUCUACUGAGUAAGAGUGAGCCAUUAAGGAAGCUUACUGUGGCCAAGAGCUUAAUGGCAGCCAUAUUUUGUAUCUCUCACUCUUCAUGUUGAUGUCAGAUCUAGGCUGUUCUGUCAAAAACCUACUUGGUCUCUCUUGAGAAGAACUGAAGGUAGCACUUGCUGACUGAUCUCAUGUGCUGGGCUCUGAGGACUGCUUUUCUGAGUAUACGCCCUGGAGCUGCCUGAUUCACUGGUCAUACCUACUUGUUCAGCAGGUUUGCCAUGCCCUUAUCUCCUGUUUCACUUUCCCCCUGAGAGAUAUUAACUCCCAUAAUUCUUUUUUUUUCUUUCUUUUUUUUUUUUUUUUCCGGUACCGGGGACAGAACUCACGACCACCUGCUUGCAAGGCAGGUGCUUAUGCCACUGAGCUAAAUCCCCAGCCCCACUACCAUAAUUCUUUAUAGGUUGCUGAGGGCAUGGCAGCCUCUGUCCUCAUAUAGCUACUUCUAACUGAAAGGGGUUAUGGAUCCUGUUUAUGGGGGAUUGUGCUUUCUCCAACAACUUUGGGAUCCUGGGAUGCUGCAGCUCACCAGCAAGGUCGAGAAAAAACCGUCAGAAGACAAUAAGAAAGGAAUUAGUGUCUAUAUGUGGAGAAGUGUUGAAAUGCCUGUUUAAUGGGAGAAAGCUUGGUGAAUUUGUCAGGGGAGUCAUGGGUUACUGUCUGAAUCACCAUCUGAAGCCUUGAAUAGGUCAACUCUACUAGUGGGUUGAGGAUGCAGAGUCCAAACUUGAUGUGGAGCAUGUCAGAAUAUUUCCCAAUCUGUCUAAGAAGGUGAAUUAUGACAGAUCUGGCAAUUGGAGACAUUAAGUUUUAUUUUUAAUUUUUUGGAGUAGAUAGCAUGAUGAAAAAAGCAGAUAAAUUAUCAAGAGCCUGAGAACAGUAGCGUUAGCAAGGUUGCCCAUAAAAACAAGAGCCUCAAUACAGUGCUAAGCUGAUUACUUAUCUGCACCCAGAAUAGUACUAGAGUCUUGCCUUUUGAAGAGAAGCCUCAGAUGUUCCAAAGAUUCACAGGAGUAGCUGUCUUUUAACAAAGGAAAUGGUCUGAGAUUUUCAGGAUUAUUGUAAAUACAUAGUAGGCAAGCUUUGACAACAGAUUAUAUGGUCCCUGCUAGUCCAAGUCCUGUGAAAAUCUGAGCAACCAUUUCCCAUGCUUCAUAAAUGGAAAGAACUGUGAAGGAUUUUUACAACCUUCUGCUGUGUCCCUUAAGGAAAGACCAAUUAAAUGGUUUUCAGGAACUGACAAUAAGGCUUGGGUUUUGAGGGGCUAUAAGGCUGCUUUUCUUAUCUAUCAGAAGAAUUAAAAUUUCCAGAGGAGACAUCACACAUGUCUCUUUGGUGUUCUUUGCAAUGAAUAACAGCAACCUGCUUGGGAAGAGAAGUUGCCUCCAAUUUUACUAGUAAAUUUCUCCUAGUAAGAUAGUAGGAUCUAGUAGGAAAAUUAAAGACUCUUGGUUAUACAUUUGACCUUCAAGUUGGCAUGUCAAAGGAAGAGUAAAGAAGCCCUGACUAUGGUUUCUCUCAACCCCAAUUAUGGCUUUAGAUGUGGAGGAGAGAUUUCUAGAGAAGGAAGGUAAAACAGUACUAAGAAUGUAUUUAAUAGUGUAUCAGUAAAAUGAUCAUAAAAUUGAUUUUUUAAGUAAUUGAUGGAGUAUCAAGAGAAGUUCCAUUGUUUUAACUGAAUUUCCAAGUAUGUAAAUUAUACACUAAGUAAUUUUAAGUGCUCAGUUGUUGAAAUGACCAGUAAGAUUAAGGUUUAGUGACAAAACAACUUUAAUACAAAGGAAAAAUAUAGUAACAGCAAAAAGAGAAUAUACAAGAAGAAUUUAGAGUUCUUAGAAGCCAGUGCUUUGAUCUAUCAACCACUGGUUAGACAUAAGAUAUGCACUGUCCCUAGGUCUCAAAGAACCAUCAGUCUGUAUGUGAAAAACUUCAGUUCCAGAAAACUCCAAAUCUGCUCGUAGUAGAGUUCUUAUAUUGAAUUGGACGCUUAAGUGUUCUAGCUAUGCAGCCAGAGUUCAUCUUCAAACUCCCCCAUCCCUAGUUUCCACUGAAGUCAGGUUAAAACAAUAAAAUACAUCACUAAGAAAUGCAAGUAAUAACAUUGUUCUGAAACAACAAGUAAACUUACAAUUUUAGAAAGUCAGUUUCUUAAUAUAUUCUUUUUUUUGGCACUGAGAAUUGAACUCAGGACCAGGUGAACGCUUGCCAGGUGAACACUGUGCCACUGAGCUACAUCCCUGGCAAAGUUAAUAGAUUCUCUAAUCCUGAGCAAGUGUAAACAACUCUGGAGAUAAGCAGGGUCAAUCUAAAUCAGAUGAGAUUAAUCUAAUACUAAAAACAAAUAUAUUCUGUUUAUCAUCUGUACACCCUCCAGAAGAUAAGCGUAAGUUACCCAAGAUAUAGACAACUUUCUACCUACUAGUAGUUUAAUAUGAGAAACCCAAAUAUUAGAUAUCCUUGCAAUUAUGGUGAAGUAGCAAAGGACAUAUCAUCAAUAGAAAAUUAGAAAAUAUGCAUGGGACACAUUUUUUUCUUUUUGGAUUUUUAGAGAAUGGACAUAAGAAAAUCAGCGAGGUGAGCUCUGAUUUCCUCAGCUUUGUGCCUGGAGACAAAUUGUUUAUUAUGGCCAAUCAAAUAAAGAAUAGGACUAAAUCUCAAUCGAACUGAAUUGAGAAGACCUAGUAGAUUCAGAGAGAUAAAGGCGCAGGAAAAUUCAAGGCUAAAUCCUUGAAACAAGGGAGUUAUUAAGAAAAAGAAUUCCAGAAAUAUUCAAACAAAGAUCCUUGAAAAUUUUACUACUAAAUUGUGCUUGGAUAUAAUGACACUGCAAAACUGGGCAAAGAAUUGCCAAUGAGUCAUAUGACCAAAACUUGACAGAACUCAUACAAAGCAGAGAAAUACUCAAACAUGAACCAGUCAGAGUGUAGAAUUCUUGGUGAUUUCACAAAAAAUUCAGUGGUGCCCUUAGAAAGGCAUACCAUAAGACUGGGCUUGAUCUAUUAUUUCAAGGUUACAUAAAUGACAUAUCAAAGCUUGAAAACAAGAUGCUGUUGCAAUAAAAUCAACUUCAGGUAACAGCAGACAAUCAAAAUUAAGCCUAAUCAUCUAUAUUUUGUCAAUAUUCUGACAUAAAUUCAGAUAUCCAACAACAUAAUAACUCAACUUUCAGUAUCUAAUAAAAAGUGUUACCUGUGGCAAGGAAGAAAACCAGGAGAAAAAUCAAUAACCAGAAUGAGAUGCAGAAAUCACAGAGAUGCGAAAAUUAGCAUAAAUAAUUUAUGGAGACAAGCAUAGAAAGAAAUGAAACAUGCACAAAAGAACUAAAAAGUGCAUCUCAAAUGCUCAUUUGAGUGGAUGAGGAAGCUGUAGAUGUAGCUACUAUCGAAGGUAAAGUUAGCCAACCUGAAGAAACAGGAAUAAAAUCUUCCUAAAACUAAACGCAAAGAAAAAAAGGUGAAACAGAAAUUAAAUGACUUAAAAAAAGUGAUCAAUUAAUUUAAUAUAUAAUUUGAAUCCCAGAAUGAGAGGAAGAAUUUCAAAAAUAAAAUAUUGGAGAAAUAUUUCCAUAUUUGAUGAAAACUAUAAAACCAGAGCACCAUGAAAUAGAAUGAACUUCAGGAAACACACACACACACACACACACACACACACACACACCCUCCCAUAUAUAUAUGAACCUCAUCAUGGCAUAUCACAAUAAAAUAUGGAAAAAAGUGGUAAUAUAAAAAUUCUGAGAAAUGAAAGCAAAAUUUCAAAAAGAUAUUUGUAUACCCAUGCUGAUGACCAUAAUAUUCCUAGUAGCUAAUAAGUGAAAACAACCUGCACAUCCAUCAACAUAUUAAACAAACAAAAUGCAGUAUAUGAAUACAGUAAACAUUAUCAGCCUUUAAAAGGCAGGAAAUUCUGAUAUAUGCUACAAACAUGAAUGAAACUUGAAGAUGUUGUGCUAAAGGCAAUAAGCCAGUUACACAAAAGCAAAUACUGUAUACUUCCAUGUAUGUGAAAUUCAGUAGUAAAAUUCUUACAAACUCUUAGAGACGUAAACCAGAAUGGUGGUUGCCCAGAAUGGCAGAAGGAAGAAAUGGGGAAUUAUUGCUUCAUGGGAAAAUGAUUCAGAUUUGCAAAAUGAAAAGUUAUUGAGCUGGUUGGUGGUGAUGUUUGCAAACAACUGUAAUAUACUUUAAAUACAUUAUCACUGAGCUUUACACUUAAAAACAAUAAAGAAGUAAAUGUCAUAGUAUAUGUGUUUAAUGACAAAAAAGACAAGAUUCUUUAGUAUUGCUUAUUUUAAUGUGUGAAUAAGAUGUCAGUGUUAGUCAGUAUUAGUGUGGCACAAAUAUACUUUAUUUUUAAAGUAUUUUAUAUUUCAAUUGAAUAAAUCUUUAUGAGAAGGACUUUAACAACAAACAAACGUUGCUUUCUGAUGAAAUGCAAUGCUCCCAUUCUAUUUAUCUUUUCAUCGUGUGUUCCCCCUGCUCUGAGAUAAUCAUAUAAUUAACUUUAUUAGUCUUUUUUAUCCUAUAGAUUCUAGUAUUUGACAAAUAUGCAAUGUGAUACAUACAGAAGUUUAUGGUAAACCUGUUUAUAACUAUUCCAUGCUUUCUAUAAGCUAAGCAUAGCAACAAACAACAAAUGCAUAGCAUUUUCUGUUUGCUAUAAAUCACAUCCAAAGUCAUAAUGGAAAAAAUAGAAUCUGGAUUCAGAUCCAAGAUCCACGUCACUCUCAGUUCUGUGCUUUUUACACAGGACUCACCUCCUCAGACAGGGUCACUUCUGUGAAUUCCUUCCUUGUUUUUCAACAAACCACGUAUUUUUCUCCAUGUCAUAUAUGCCUUUGUAUCUUUUGUACCUCAAAAAUCAGUAAGAUAAAUGUCUGAAUACACCAUUCACCACACAUUUUCUUACUUUGAAUGUGUAGUAUGUGCACAGUAGUUUCUUUGAAAUAACGAUCUCACACUUUAUUUAGCAAGGGAAAAAAAUCAUUGUUCAUUUUAAUGAGCUAAUCCAGCACCUAAAAAAACACAACCUACUAACAGGUUAUAAAUCUACAUUUGCAAAAACUACUGGCACAAAAUGUAGAAAGGAUUGUUCUCUGUGUACAGUAUUAACAAGCAAACUCGAGAAUAAAUCCAAGGUUUUAAAAUAAGAGAGAGUGUAGAGGGUUUAUAAUAUGAUCAUCAGUUGUCUGAAUUCUAUCAUGUGGUCAAAACAAAUUAUUUAAUCUUUGAAUUUGUUUCCUUAUCUUUGUAGCGGAGAUGCAGAUUACAACCUGAUAGCCAAAUACAUAUGGGCAUACAAGUACAGAUUCUCAGGUUCUUUUCCAGAUGAUGAAACUGGAAUCUCCCAAAGUGAUAAUGAAGGAAAUUCAAAUCUUUUCUAAGGAAAUUGGGUUCCUCUAGGACAAUAAAUGAAAAAUAACAAUUCCAAGUAACACAAGAAAUACAGAAAAAUGACUGCACAAACUAUCACCCACACACUCUAAUUAGAGGUUAAUAAUCAAUUGCAAGUGUUCUUUCUCCAAAGCCAUUGACAGUGCUUCCUCAUGGUGCCAUGUUCAUUUCCUUACUUCUAUUAGUGCAUUUCUUCUUGCUCGUCCACCCUGCAAAAGAAUUUAAGCAAAUCUAUGCUUCCUUACACAUUUAUAUUAACAUCAAAAGUUUUAAAUGAGUUAAAAUAAUUGGAAUAUGUACAAUCUACUAGUGUAAAACUUAUAGAAAAUUUUUGUGGGCCUGGCUAAAUCCACUACUAAGUACACAAUUUGCCAGUACCAGAGACCAAUGCUAAGCCACCAAUAUGAAACUUGCUUCCAGAGUGAUCAGCCAUCUGAUAGCAGACUGAUUACAAUGAAAGUAUUCCAUUGUGAAAGGGGUAGUAUUUUAUCUUUACUGAAAGUCAAUUUCUCUGGAUAAAUUGCCUUUCAAUUUCAGUUGCAUUUCUUCUAUUCAAUGCUUCUACCCAAGCUACUAUUUAUGCACUUACAAAAUGAAUUGUCCACUGAUUUGAUAUUCUAUACAGCAUUGAUUCUGAUGAAGAAAAUCACUUCAUAGUUAAAGAAGUGCAGUAGUGGGCUCAUAUUUAUAGAAUUUACUGAUUGCAUGCUCCCUACCAUCCUGAACUAGUUGUUCGACAGAAUCAUGGGAUGGCCUUUGGAACACUCAGUUGUACUUCCAACUAAGUGAUCUAUGUUUCAGAGCUCUUUCAGAGGUUGUAGGUGCCCUGAACCAGUGAACAAUCCUCCAACAUAUGGUACUUUCCCAAUACUAACCAAGAGGUGGAAAUACCAAUGGUGCUUACUGUGUGUGAGUGUCCUAGAGACACACUUUAAAAAUGUUUCUUGUUCCCAUGCCUUUAUGCUUUGCUAACCUGGAGAUCCUGAGAGCAGAGAAAGACCACUUCCACCAGAAGGCACAAUAAUGAUUCCAUUGGACUGGAAGUUCAGAUUUCUACCCAUUCACUUUGGGUUUUUCAGGGCUCCAGCUCAACAGGCUAAGAAGAGCAUUAUGUUGUUUUCUGGGUCACUGAUUUGGACUACUAAGGGAACAUUGGACUGCUCUCCUACAGUGAGAUAAAAAUGAGUAUAUCUGGAACACAGGCGGUUAAUUAGGGUAUUUCAUAGUUUUACAGUGCCCUAUGAUUAAUCUACUUAGCGAACUACAACAAUCCAAUAGGAGAGUUGGUUGGGAAAGUGGAGUUCUACAAACAUCAGUCAUCUAGCGGGAGUCUGCAAAGGUGAAAAAGUAUAGGAUCCUUGGCAGCAAAAGUUGUAGAGUGUUCAUGGUGGCAGUGAUGGCUUCUGCUUUCCUCUACAGCUGGAGUCAUGGUCACUGGGAACUAUGGUGGUACUUGCCACAUAGCUGAUAACGAUAGCUACUGCUAUUUAAUGUUUCAGAGACCUCAGCUGCCCAUUUCCCUACUUACGUGGGUGUGGUAAAACCAAUACAGUUCAUUCAAACACUUUCUACUCAUUCAGUCAUCUUGGAGAUUUUGCACCAUUGAUGUCCUGAAGGUUAACCCUAUUCCUGAUUCUCUCCCAGUGCCAUUUUUAUUCAUGGAUAACUGGCUGUCCUACUCUGCUGUCUGGGUGACAUCAUUUAGUGACACUUUCAAAUACUUGACACUAACAAUUAUCUGGACACAUGGGUUAAGUUAUUGUAUAACAGGCAGAUGUUAAUCUGAUGGCUAUACAAUAAAUAUUCUCUUGGUGCAAACUUUAUUUGGAGCCAAAUAUGUGAUUUGUCACAACAAUACUGGUCUAGUUUUCUUAUUCUUGAGACAGAUAAACAGUGUGUGUGUGUGUGUGUGUGUGUGUGUGUGUGUGUGUGUGUAUGAAGGAGACUGUUAUUAAGAUUUUAAAAAUAAAAAUAAACCAAAGGGUUAUGUGGUUGGUGAAAAAUAAUUUGAUUUUUAAAGUGAUAUUUGGAAAUCAAAUAAUUUCUGAUUAAUAGUAUCAGAAAAUUAUGCUGGAAGAAAUUUUUCUGUGCACAAUAAUCUUGGCCUAGAAUUCAGAAAUGUAAAUAUUUUUAUACAUUUAUAUGUGACCUUGUAUACGUGUUUUUACUUCUUGUGAUAAAGUAAACAAUUUUUCUUAGAAUACAUUAUUGGUACAUAUUAAUUGGAUUUUUAUGCAUAAAUGCAUCUUGACUGACACUGAUUUAAAUACAUCUAAAUAUAUUUUGGGUUUUAUUUUAAAACACUGGUAAUACAUCUAUUUUUAAAUCACUCCUAUUGGAAAAGUAUACUUUUGUCUUCAAGGAUUUAUAAUAUUAUCAAUAUUAUUUUUAUUUCAGUUUAUAUUGAAUGAGACAAAGUGACAUAUAUUUAUUCUAUUUUUAUAAUAGAAAAUUUCUACUUUGAGUAACCUAAUGCAUGUGGUAGACAAAAAAUAUUUAAACAAAAUUAACACCAUAUGCUUAUGCCUUUUAAAAUUCUUGGAGGUAAGGUUGAAGAUUUGAAAGGCAACAUUAACAUGGAAAACAGGGAAAUCACAGUUAACAUUGCCUGACAGUUAUAUCACAGGGGAGAAAGUAUCUCUUUCCAUGUCAACUUCAGCUCAAAUGAUGAGAUAGUUCACCCCAUCCUAUAGGUGAUUCACAAUUUAAAAUCAGAGACCACCCCUAAGUCAUGUUAUCUCUUGAAUUAUAUUGCCAGUUGUGGGGGAGGGAGAGGAUAGCUCUUUCUGUGACAUGUGGGCCUUUUCCAAGCCUCCUGGAAGUACUCUACAUAAAUCAAGGAUUAGGUAACCAGACAGGAGGAUGUGGAAGAAUGCCACACUGGCUCUUUGAAUUGUAAGGCUAUUCUUAUCUACUGUUGCUCUGAAUUCCAUUUUUUUCCCAGUCAAAUGUACAACCUGUAACUCCCAGCAAACAUAGGGUCAGAGGAACCCAGGUGCCUAUUCCAUUCCUCUACACAAUGGAGGGGCUGCCAAAGUGGGAGGUGCUUGAGGCCUCACAACCAGCUUGUUGGGAAAAACUCAGGAGAAUUUCAAGACAAAGGAGAAAAAGGCAAUCUCAGAUCUCCGGCUCAUACAAGUCUGGGAGAUACAGUCAUGGAAGAAAAUGGAAAUCAUACACCUGAAAUCUCCAAUAGGAUAACAACCGAAGUAGAGAAACAAUUUCAUGAGACUGUAAAAGUAAUCAAAUCAGAAAUACUAUCUCAGGUAAAAGAAGAAAUCACAAACAUAAUGAAAGAAUUGCUCACCAUAUCUAAAGAAGACAUAGAUUUAAAAAAAAAAAAAAAAAGACGAGUGCUGGGCAUGGUAGCUUACUCCUGUAAUUCCAGCACUCGAGAGGUUGAGGCAGGAGGAUUAUUGUGAGUUUAAGACCAGCUGAGGCUACAAAGUGCACUCAAGGCCAGCCGGAACUGUAUAGAGAGACACUGUCUCAAAAAGACAAAAAAAAAAAAAAAAAAAAAAAAAAAAAAGACAAAAAAAAGAGGAGCAUAGGAAAAUGAUGGAAAUCUUGAAUGACCAAUGUAGAAAGGAAUUGCAAUGCAUGAAACAGAUCCAAAGAGAGAUCCAGGAAAUUAAAAAGUCAAUCAAAAGCUGGCAAAACCAAUGGAAAGAGACUGAAGAUAAACUUUCAAACCUUAAAGACAGGAUUGCAGCUAGUGAUCAUGAAAGGAAAGAUCUUUUAAAAAUAACAAGGAACCAGGAUAACAAUUCAGUGGCUGCAAGACAACACAAAGAAACAUAAUUUAAGAGUGAUAGUUAAGUGAAGAUGCAAGGGUCAAUACAAGUGAAAUAAAAAGGCUAUUUACAGAAGUAAUAGCAGAAAACUUCCCAAACAUGGGAAAAGGAUCUAGUAUAUGGAUAAACAUAGAACCCCAAUUAGCCAUAACCAGUGUAAAUCUACACCCAGACAUAUAAUAAUCAAGAUCCCAGAAAUUUAGUACAAGAACAGAAUAUUAAAAGCUAUUAGAGAAAAGAAACGGAUCAUCUACAAAGGAAAGGAUAAGAAUCAUGGCAGACUUGUCAACAUAAACCAUCAAAUCAAGAAGAGUUGGGACUGAACUAUUUCAAAUCCUGAAACCAAACAACUUUCAACCCAGAUUGAUGUACCCUGAAAAUUAUCUUUCAAAAUUGAUGUAAAAAUAAGAUACUUUCAUGACAAAGAACAACUAAAGGAGUUCACGACCACCAAACCAACCCUACAGAGAGUGCUAAAGGGUAUUCUAGAGAGAGAUAAAGAUGACCAUGGCUCCAGGAACAGCAGCAAAAGAAGACCACCAAACAGGACAAGCAAUUGAAUGAAGGGACAAAGUGGAAGGCCAACAGGAGGAGGAUAGUAUGCCAGAGAUAAACCAAUAACUGUUGCUUGUAACCACUGAUUUAGAUGGCCUCAGGUCAGCAAUAAAAAGAAACUCAGGGAGAGUGGAUAAAGAAACAAUAUCCAUCAAUAUGCUGUAUACAAGAAACACAUCUAACUGGAAAGGAAAUUAAGAGACUGAAAAUCAAAAGAGAGAAAACAAUUGUUCUGUAUGACAGGAGAACAGGAAAAAAAGCAAGAGUAACUUGCCCAUUAAUCACAGAAUAAAUAAGAAAGAUAUAGUAUUUUCAUACAAUGGAAAGCUACCCAGCUAUAAAGUAGAAUAAUCUUGAGGCUCUUGUAGGUAAAUAGAUGCAACUGGAGAUCAUGUUCAUGGGCAAAACAAUUUGAACUCACAUGGGUGAGCACUACCAUAAAAAACAGGAGUUAGUGGAAUCCAAAAAGCACAAUAGAUAUAAUAAAAGUGAUGAGGGAGAAAACGUCUAUGAAGGAAAGCUGGUAAUCACUGUUAAUUUCUUGUGGUCUUGUCUUGAACUCUUGUAUUGUUUUCACAAUUUUGUUAGGUUUGGUUUUAUUCUAUCUUGUUUUGUUAGAUUUUACUGUGUCUAAAGGUAUAGGCAGCUAUUUUGAACAUAAUAGGAUAUAUUAUGGUAAUCAUGGUUGGUUUCCUAUCAUAAGUCCUAUAUUGUCUUUAUUAAUUUGUUUAAUUGGUUUUAUUCCACUUUGUUUUGAUUUUAUUAUGUGUGAUGGUAUGAACACCUAUGUUGAAGAAAAUGAAAGACAUUAUGGUAGCCACUGUUGAUGUCUUGUUAUCUUGUUGUAAAGUCCUAUGUUGCUUGCAUAGUUCUGUGCUUAUUUGCUUUGUUUUAUCUUAUUUUGUUUCGCUUUCUCUAAAAUAAAAAAAAGUAAGCAAUUAUGGGGCUUUCCUUUUUCAGACAAAGAAGGUUAACUAGUUUUAGAUCAAUGAGCAAGGAUAUGUGAAGUACAAAAUAGGAAUAUUUCUGAAAAGACAAGUAGUUGUUUGCUUGUUCUGGUCAAUAGAAGAAUUUGCAUUACAAUAAAACAUCUGAUGUAGUACAGAUACUAUAACUAGAUUAAGUUUAAUAUUUUGAUAUUGCCAUUAUAGCUCUCAGACAAGGUAACUUGUAGUUUCUGAAUCUAAUGAAGGAAUGAAAUAAUAAGCCUUAAAGAGCACCAUGCAAAUCAAUCAGCACUCCUCCGCCAUGUCCAGAUCAUUUAUAAACAAAAAUGUUUUGUGAAUUUAGAAGCCUGGAAAAAUAUUUUAUUAGAUAUUUCAUUAGUUUUUAUGUAAACAUGUGUAUUUCUUUUAAGUUGAAAAGUAUACAAUUUCAGAAGAUGCUUAUAUUUUCAUAUUGUGCUUACUGUAUAAUUAAACCAGAAAUAAAAACUCUUUUUAUUAUUAUUUGUUUUAGUUCUAAGUUUGGUAGACAAAAAUGCUCAAAUCGUUUCUGACUGAAUUACAAUUUGGAGGAUUUUAAACAAAUUCAUACUCCUUGUGGUUUUGUAAAGGAUUAAACACUUAUGUUACUGAAUAAUCAUUUUAAGAAAUCCAAAAACACAUCAGGUAUAAAAAGUAUCAGUCAUGUUACUCUGGAUCUGAGGAAAGCAGAAGUAAGACCAAUUAAAGAGGCAAAGACAAAUUUCCACAAAAUGUCCACAAACAUAAAAACAAUAACAAAUGGUUAUUUUAAAACAAAUUACCAUAAUUUUAAAAAGCUUUUAAAUAUGAUUUAUGAUGAUGUUCAAAUAUAGAAUUAACAAUAAAUCAAUGACAGAAAAAGUCAGAACCUACUAACCUGGUCAUAAAAUAAUCUAGUCUUUCUAAAUUAAAAGGGAUAAAAUAUUAUUUUAUUUCUUUGGUACUUAUUAAUGCAUCAAUGCAAUAAAUGAUGUAUUAAAAUAUCUUAUAUUUAGGCAUAUGAAAUAUAUAGAUACAGAAAAAUUUUAAUUAUAGUUUAAAGAAUAAGCAAUAUACUAAAUGAGUAUCUAGUCACAAAUGUAUUACUAAACAUAUUUAUAAAAUAAUUGCAUAUAUGCCUAGUUUUGUUUAGCAUCUAAAUAAAAUUAAUUGGUUUUAAUUGACAGCUAAACUGGGCAUAUUUAUCAUGUACAACAUGAUGUUUUGGAAAAUGGUUAAAUUUUGCUAAUCAACAAAUGCAGUAGUUCACUAAUUAUCACUUUUGUAGUGAGAAAAAUUAUCUACUGCCUACAUUUUUCAAUAAUAGAGCGUAAUUAACUGUAGUUAUUAGGUUGUAAACUUCAUAUGUUUAACUUGUUCCUAUCUAGGUUGAGUUGUUAAUUAACAACUUCCUUAAUAAUAAUACAAUAUCUAUAUUAUAUUAUAGAAAAUAUCUAUUACCUUAUAUAAAUAUUUAUAUUUUUCUGUAUUUUUACCAACUAUUGUUGACUAUUUACAUUAAUGUUUGUAUCUAAGGAAAACAGGCCCAUUUUUUCACUAGGUAUAAAACAUAUUUUUCUUGUGAAUCUACAAGUGUUAUAAAAUAAAAGUUUAUGAAAUAAUCAACCUUCUAGUUAUAAAAAGAACAAACUAUUAGUAAAAAUUACACAUGAAUAAGCCUCACAUUUUUCUAAUUGCAAGAAGCCAGUUGUAUUAUCUGAUUUUACUUGCAUAAACAUGUAGAAAAGGUAAAAUCUAUACGUGUAUGGACUCUAUUUGUGUAAAUGUGUAGAAAAGGUAAAAUCCAUAAAAGCAAGUAGGUUUGUUGUUACUUAGGGCUGAGAGUGAAAUUAACUUCAAACAAGUGCAAUAUGACUUUUUGGGUGAUAAAAUGCUAUAAAAUUGUGUGAUAGUUAUUGCUGUACACAUCUGUAAAUGCAUGAAAAUAAUUGAAAUGUACAUUUACAUAAGUGCUUUUUAUGAUGUGAAACUUACAUGUGAAUAAAGAAGAAUCAAAACUUCCCCAAGGUAGUGAGAUGUAAAAAUAAUGAUAAUGUAAUUGACAACUGCCAUUAUAACUUUUCUGAAAAAAAACAAAUGCCAGAAAAGACACAUCAAAUGGCAAAUAGCUUGCCAAAAAUCAGAACAAAUUCUAAUCAUGAAAAGACAUCAAAUACUAAAUCUAAUAAUGAUAGGACAUCAGAUAAACCAUUUUGAAAGAAAUUCUAUAAUAAAGCAACCUAUGCUUAUGAAACAGGUAUGUGAAAAAGACAAAGGUUAAGGAACUAUUUUAGAUUAAAACAAAUUUAAAAGCUGACAAUAAGAUGCAACAUGUAGCUGGUCUUGGUGGCACAUGUCUGUAAGCCCAGCAUUCAGGAGCCUGAGGCAGAAGGAUUGCCACAACUUUAAGGCCAGCCUGGGCUACAUAGUGAGUUCCAGACAGUCUGCUACAUAGCAAAUCCCUGUCUCAAAGAAAACAAAAAGGACAUUACUGGGAGAAAAAAAUAUCCCCAAAACAUGAGAUUGUGUUAUGUACAUGUACUGCUUCUCAAUGAUAAAUGUAAUCAUUAUGUACUAUAAAUAAGUACUAACAAAAAAUAAGAAUUAAAAACUCAAGAAAAAGACAUUAAUGAGAUACUUGGCAAAAUUGAAAUGCAAACCAUACUAUUACAGUACUGUACCAGUGUUUCAAUUCCUAAAUGUAUUACUUCACUGUGUUUAUAUAUGGUGUCAUUUAAAAAUUUUUUACAGUAAUGUAUUUAAGGUAAGGGAAAGCCUUGUCUGAAAUUUAAUCUCAAAGGGAUCUUUGAGCCUUUGAUUUUUCAUGUUUUUCAAAGACCUUCAAUGUUUCUUUACUACAAAAAAGGAGAGACAUGUUCACUGUAAUUGAACAUUAUGUGAUCUGUACAUGCACUGAAACAUCACAUAGUGACUCACCACAAAUGUAUAUAUAUGUGUGUGUGUGUGUCCAUUACACACCAAUGGACAGAAUAGGGUGCACAGAAGUACACCCAUUUAUUCAAGCACUUGGUUCUAAACAAAGGAGCUAAAAAUAUAGAGAACUGAAAAAACAAUAGCCUUUUAAUCAAAUGGUGCUGAGAAAAAUGGAUAUGUACUUGUAGAAGAUUGAAACUAGAUCUUAAUCUCUGACCACAUAAAAAUCAAUUCAAAAUGGAUUAUGACUUGAGUUUAAGACCUAAGACGUUGAAGCUACCUCAUGAAAAUAGAGAGGAAACACUUGAAGAGGAAUACACACACACAGGCAAAACUUCCUGACUAAGACUCCAUCAGACAGCAAAUAAUGGAAAGAAUUCACAAAUGAGACUAAUCAAAUUUCUGCACACCAAGAGAAACAGUUAGCAUAGUAACGAGUUAGCCUGCAUAACAGAAAAACAUCUUUGCCUACUAAGUUUCUUAUAGAGCGUCAACAUCUAAAAUGCAUAAAUCAUUUUUUAUACAAUCAAGUAGCCCGCGUCAACAAAUAGGCAAAAAACAAAACAAAAAAAAAACAAAAAAAAAAACAAAAAACAAAUGAUGCUCAAAAGAAGUACAUACGGCCAUUAUGUAUAUGAAAAUAUGUUCAACAUCUUUAGCCAUUAGGGAAAUGCAAAUCAAAACACAUUGAAAUUCCAUCUCACCACAGUAAAAAUGACUAUCGACAAAAAUACAUAAAACAAUAAAUGCUGGCAAGGAUCCAGGGGGAAAGGAACAUUUCUAUACUGUUGAAGGGGAAUGUGAAUUAGUACAACCACUACUGAAAUCAGUAUGGAGUUUCCUCAGAAUCUAAAAUACAGUCACGGUUUGUUCCACUCUUUAGUAUGCAUCUGAAGGAAUUAAACUCAGCAUAUUAUGGGUAUAUCUGAAUAUUCAUGCUUAUGGUGGCAUAAUUCACAUUAAGAUAUGGAUACGUAUCUGUCAACCAGUGAACAGAUUUGUUAUUUGCAGGAAAGUGGAUGGAUCUAGAGAUCACUGUGUUGAGCUAAGCCAGAUUCAGAAAGACAACUAUUAUAUGUUCUCAUUAGUAUAUGAAAUAUAAAAAGAUGAAAUGAAAGUAGAAGGGAGACUAUUAUUAGACAAGAGGAAGGGGAAUAGAAAAGAGAAGUGUAAAAGAGGGUAUAGGAAAGAUAGUUUUGAUCAAAAUAUAUUGAAACCCAAUAUUUCAUAAAAUUAAUAAAUAGUAAUUAUAAAAGGAAAACACUAAUAAAGCAAAAACAUUCAAAACCAAGAUAGUUUCAAUGAUGAAUAUUGUUAAAUACUUAACAAAUUAUUUCAAAUCUAUACAAUCUCUUCUAGUAUGUGGAAAAGAGUUCUUUAUAACUUAUUUUAUCACACAAAGUUUACAGUGAUAUUAAAAUCAUACAGACAUUAAAAACUACAGGUUAAUCUGACACAUGAACAUAGAUCCAAAAAUUCUUAUCCAAAUAUUAGUCAACCUACUCCAACUUCAUUUAAGAAUACUACUUCAUAGCCAGGUAGUAUCCAUGCCAGGAAUCCCUCCAUUCCUAAACCCCACUAUUGGAUUCAUUAUUUGUAAUCCACCAUUGAGUCAAAGAAAAAAAAUUAUAUUAUCUCAGGGAACACAGAGAAAACCUUUAAAAAACUAAAAAUCAAUUAAUGAUUAAAAAAACAAAAAUGCUCUCAAGAAUUAGGAAUUUAAAGGAACUUUUUCAAUCUGCUAGAAGACACCUAGAAAAAUGUACAAAUAGCAUCAUUUUAUUAAUGGGAAAAGACCGAAUACUUUCUAAGAUCAGGAAAAGUGUAAAAAUAUCCUUUCUUACAAUUUCUAUUCAACAUCAUACUGCAAUCCCUUGCAAGUGAAAUAUGGCUAAAAAAAGUGUGUAAAGUAAGCAAGUUUUAAAAAAUUGAAUAGUUUUUAUGUAUAGAUGAAAUGAUUAUUUACAUACAAAGUCCAGUUAGUAUUUUCAUGAUUUAGUUGGUAAUUUCAUUAUGUACGCAAAAUAAAAACAAACAGAAAUAUCCAAAAUUAAUGGCCUACUGCUUGAGAAAUCAGAAACAAGGACUCAUCUCAUACUCAAUCUGUAUACCUUUUAGAAAAAUAUUUUAGGCUCUAUUCUUUUCCAAAAAUUAACAAAAUAAAAAGUGUUUUUAUCCCUCAACAGAAACAAUACCUUCUUCAAAAAUUAAUAAAAAUCAACUUCUCAAAAACUAGCUUAUUUGCAAAAAUUAUACCAAAGCUCAAGCUGGACACUUCAAGUGUGCUAAUUAAUCUAAUCCUAGAAGCUAUGUUCCAUUUAACAAAUGCUAAUAUUCCAUUUAACAAAUCAGAAAUCAAUUAGCUCAAUGUUAAUCAUCUAAAACCAAUUAAAGGUUAAUCAACUAGCCAAGACUCUAGCUGACAAUGUCAGAGCCAAGAUAUGACACCAAGAAUGUGACUCUAGGGUCCAAGUGAUUAAGCACCAAACCAAACAUCCCCCAGGUCCCUCCUAAGCACCUCACUCUGCAUCUUCGGCUGUCUAUAAACCUGCUGCACUAAGCUCCCAGCAAUCCUGGAGGUACUAGACUCACCGCCUUCUCCACCUCUUAACUCACACUCCUGUUCCAUUCCCAGGACAAAUAAAGGAAGAAAGAGCAGCUUAGACAGUUUCUCAGUUAGAAAAACGUAAAUCAAGGCUUAGAAUAUAAGUAGAUCACUAAUUUCCCUGUAAUUUCACUGGAGCAAUUAGGAAAGAAUAAAACUCUGAAGAUCUAUAUCAUUUGUGGCCUUUAAUCAUUUCCUUUUAUGACUGAGCAACGAUAUCUAUUGUAUGACCACGCAACAUUUGAUUUAUCUUCUCCUUUAAUUUUGACUCCUCUUUUUCUCUGAGUAUGGAAUUCUGGCUUCUUUUUAAAAUUUUUAUUUUAUUUUAAAGAUAAUGUUUUGGCUCACUUAGGUUACAGUGAAAAGUCUGCGUCCAUUUUGAUCUUUCUCAUCUAUAUAUAAUGUAUUUUCUUGAUUUUACUCUCAGCCCCAUAAAGUUAUAGGAAUCUUACAAAAGUCCACUGUUCUCAGUUCUAUCUUUGAAACGUCCUGUGACUACAUAAGUAAUUUAUGGAAAAAUUAUCUACCCCUGUAAACCACAAAUAGUUAUAGACUUGCUUGGUUUUGAUAAACAAAUCCAGAUAUUUCAAACAAUGAUAUCAAGAAUUACAGCCUCACUGUUUGAUAUUUACUAGUGAGGCAUAAGCCAAAACUCUACAUUAACAUCUGACAAAAUGGAGUUUGUUUUAAUAUUGGCUGAUAUUGUUACAUAUACAAACUGUAGUAUCACCUCCCAAGGAAAAUGAAUACUCACAUUACAGUAUAUUUCCAUCCAGGACUGUGUGUGUGCUAAACAUGAAUCAUACAAAAACUUUAACAUUCACAAGAGUAGCCUAGAAUGAAUGCUUGCUCAGACUCCUGCUACUUGGCCACAUGUCAGCUUCUGAUUCACUGAAUCUAGAUAGAGACAUGAAUUUGCAAUUCAUAUUUCUUUCUCUUUCUUCCUCUCUUUUUCUUUCUUUCUCUUAUUUUUCUUUCCUCUUUUGAGACAGUCUCACUAAUUUGCUCACUCUGACUUUCAACUUGCCAUCCUCCUGUCUCUAGUUGUAAUUAUAGGUUUUCAAGCAUGAGCCACUAUUUUCAGUUUAUUCUUCUUUUUUUAAACACUCCUUGUAAUAAAGCUUUGAUUUUCACUGUGAGUCGUCCAAAUACAAUUUAGUAGACUUAAUGUAUUUCCAAUGUAUUUGUGUUCCAUAACUUAUUUUUAAAUUUCCAUGCCAUUGACUUUCUAAAAGGAGCAAAAACAGUUUCCUUUUUUUUAAGUUGAGUUCCAGAAAUAAUUGGGAAAAUUAAUAAAAAACCAAAAUGUUACACUUAUUAAAGGAAAAAUUCUGAUAUUGAACAGUAUACCUAACAUCUACAGGCAAGGGGGCUUCUGAACAGUGAAUCUGAAAAUAAGGCAAAUCUACCUCCCUGGGGUCUGAAUGGCCGUAUAAACAAAUUGAGAUACUUUCUUGGAGUCGAACUGGUGAGGAGUAGUUCAGGCAACAGUAAGAUUUAGAUUUCUUAGCCCCCAGUCCUCAUGCUCUGCAUUGUAAUUAGAUGGAAAAGAGAUUUGCAGGGAUAAGGCCAUGGUUUAAAGUUACAUGAGGCAAGGAUAGGCUACCUAAAAGAUGCAGGUCUGGAUUUGAUUACUUGGAGGUGAAGGCACUUGAGGAGCACCAGGUGAAUUCCCCACCACAUGCCAUGCCUGUAUUAGUGCUGAUGGGCUCUUCCUUGCCUGUGCACCACACUUCCAGCUCCUCACUGCUAUGAGAAAUGUGGGAGACAGAUUGACUAAGUCAUCUUCAGAAAACCAACCUCACAGAAUGAAUGGCAUGAGGAGUGCUCAUUUUUUAAUUAAAAAACUAAAGUUUUCUAGAACUAUGAACUGUCCAACCCAGAAGGUAUGAGAAGUGUGUGGACAUUUAGAUUUAAAUCCUAAGUUAAAUUAAAAUGUAUUACAUUUAAAAUUGUGGUUUUCAAUCACAGCAGCCACAUUUCAAGUCUUCAGCAGCGACAAGUGCUACCGUUUUGCACACCAGAAAUACAGAACAUUUACAUUACUGCGUUGUGUUUUACUAGAAAAUGGUAAUCUGAUUGCUAAAUACAGUAAUAUACUAUUCAAGGCCAACUCGGUCUUCUAACUGUCCAAUCAAUGCCGAUCUGAUACAGAACUUGGUAUUCUAUCCAGAAAAGCCACCAAAUGUUUUAAUCUUCGUCACAUCACUGAAGGUUAACAGCAUGGAAACAAUGAAAUCUGCUACAUGGUUGUACCUUGUGUUUAAUUCCUGAUAUUUCCCAUUCCAAAGAGAACAAUCCCUGCAGACCUACACUCCUACAGAAAUCUGUAGAGGAGGGAAUGUUGUCAAUUUACACAAUCAAACGUCUUAAAUGACAUGAGCUUUCUGAGUCACUCCCUUUUUGUAUCAAACACACAUAUUUCUUUGUGUUGUGAACUCCUCCUACUCAUGGAAAAUCACGAGAUGAUGCUCCUAGGGUAUUUUAUAUUCUAACUAUAACAUAUAGCUGAGGCACGUGAGCUGCUGUGCCCAAAUAUCAUGAAAACUCCAGCCUCCAUUAUUAUUUUCAUUAGAUUAGAUUAGGGAAGAGAUAUUUGGAAGGGUGAAAUUAAAGAAGAAAUAAAACAAUACCUACAAUUCAAUGAAAAUGCAGACACAACAUACCAUAUCCUGUGGGAUGUAAUGAAAGCAGCCCUAAGAGGAAAAUAUAUAGCAAUAAAUUGUCACAUUAAGAAAAUGGAAUGAGCACAAAUAAACAACCUAACUGUACAUCUCAAGCUUCUAGAAAAGGAAGAGCAAGUCAAACACAAAGCUCAUAGAAGAGAAGAAAUUAUAAAGAUCAGAGCAGAAAUUAAUGCAAUUGAAAAUAAAAAAGUACAAAGAAUUAAUGCAUAAAAGAACUAGUUUUUGAGAGAAUAAACAAAAUCGAUAAAUUUCUAGCCAAACUUAUCAAGAAAAAGAAAGAAAAAUUCAAAUUCAUGCAAUAAGAAAUGAAAAGGAAGAAGUUACUACAGGUCCCAUGAAAAUUCAAAAGAUCAUGAAUUCAUACUUCAAAAAUCUUUACUCACAUUGGGUGGAAAGUGCAGAGAAAAUAGAUUUCUAGAAACAUAUGAACUACUAAAGCUCAAUCAAGAUGAUAUAACAAUUUUGAAUAACUCAGUAUCAGCUAUUGAAAUUAAAAAUGUGAUUAAAAACUUACCAACAAAAAAAGUCCAGAUCCUGAUGGAUACACAGCUGAAUUCUACAAGAAAUUUAGAGAAGAUUUAAUGCCCAUAGUCCUCAAACUCUUCAUUGGAAUUUAAAGUGAAGCAAAUCCUUCCUAACUCAUUCCUGGAGGCAAGUAUCAAGCUGAUACCAAAACCAGAGAGAGACCCAGCCAAAAAGGAGAACUAUGGGCCAAUCUCACUAGUGAACAUUGAUGCAAAGACUGGCAAAUAGAAUGCAGCAAAUCAUCAAGACAACCAAGUAGGAUUUAUUCCAGGAAUGCAGGGAUGAUUUAACAUACAAAAAUCAAAAAAAUGUAUCACACCACAUCAACAGAGCCAAAAAUAAAAAUCACAUGGUCAUCUCAAUAGAUGCAGAAAAAGCUUUUGAUAAAGUUGAACGUCUGUUCAUGGUAAAAAAAAAAAAAAAAAAAAAAAAAAAAAAAAAAAAAAAAACCUACAGAAACUCGGAAUAGAUGGUACCUACCUCAAUCUCAUAAAAGCCAUUUAUGACAAACCAACAGUCAACAUUAUACUAAAUGGAUAAAAACUGAAACCUUCACUCUAAAAUCAGGAACAAGACAAGGAUGUCCACUAUCACCACUGCUAUUCAACAUAGUUCUAGAAAUACGAGCCAGAGCAAUCAGACAAGAGGGAGAAAUAAAAGGAAUAAAAAUAGGAAAAGAAGUUAAAUUAUCAUUAUUUACAGAUGGCAUGUUACUCUACAUAGAAGACAAAAAAAACUCCCUUAAAAGACUACUAGAGAGGGCUGGGGAUUUAGCUCAGCGGCAUAAGCACCUGCCUCGUAAGCAGGCAGUCGUGAGUUCGAUCCCUGGUACUGGUAAAAAUGAAAAAGAAAAAAAAGAAAAAAAAAAAAAAAAAAGAAGAAGAAGACUACUAGAGAUAAUAAGCAAAUUCAGCAGCAUAGCUGGAUACAAGUCAACACUCAAAUAUCAGUAGCAUUCUUGUACACAAACAAAAAACUUACUAAAAGAGAAAUUAUGGAAAUAUUACCUUUCACAGUAGCAUCUAAAAAAAUCAGAUACUUAGGAAUAAACCUAUCCAAGCAUAUAAAAGAUCUAUAUGCUGAAAAUUAUACUACUCUAAAAAAGGAGAUUGAAGAGGAUAUUAGAAAAUGGAAGGAUAUUCCUUACCCUUGGCUAAGAAAAAUUAACAUUUUGAAAAUGGCCAUACUCCCAAAACUGUUAUACAGAUUUAAUGCAAUCCCAAUCAAAAUACCAUUAACAUACCAUACACAUCUAGAGAAAAUAUUCCUAAAAUUCAUUUGGAAACAGAAGAAACCUAGAAUAGCAAAGGCAAUUCUGGGUAACAAAGGCAAGGUAAGAGGCAUCUCAAUUCCUGACCUGGAACUAUACUACAAAGCCACAGUGAUAAAAUCAGCAUGGUACGGGCAAAGAAAUAGACAUGAAGAUCAAUGGAACAGAUUAUAAGAUGCAAACACAACUAAAAAGACACUCAGCCACCUGAUAUUGACAAAGGGGCUAGCCAUGUUCACUGGAAGAGGGAUAGCCUCUUUAAUAAAUUAUGUUGGAAAAAUGACUUUCCACAUGUUGAAGACUAAAACUAUACCUAUGCCUAUUACCAUGCAUUAAACUAAAGUCAAAAUGGAUCAAAGACCUAAAUUUUAAAAUACAAACACUAAAUCUACUGGAAGACAUGGUAGGUAGAAAUCUUGGAGACAUAGGGGUAGGCAGAGAAUUCAUGAACAGAAUGCUAGCCACACGGGAAAUGCUUCAAAGAAUCAACAACUGGGAUCUCAUAUUACUAAAAAAUGUUUGCAGUUCAAAAGAAAUCACCAACAAAGUGAAAAGAAAAUCCACAGAAUGGGAAAGAAUUUUAGCUGACAAUCCCUCAGACAAAGGACUUAUAUCCAGAACAUAGAAAGAAUUGAAAAACAUCAAGCCCCCCCAAAAAUAUUCAAAGACCCUCUCCAAAAAUUGACAUCUGAGAUGAACAUAUAGUUCUCAUAUGAAGAUAUACAAGUGGCAAAUAAAUACAUGAAGAAAUGCUCACCAUCACUGGUCAUUCAAGAAAUGCAAAUUAAAACAACACUGAGAUUUCAUCUUGCCCCAGAAAGAAUGGCUGCCAUGAAGAAAUCAAAUGUUAACAAAUGUUGGCAAGGAUGUGGGGAAAAAGGAACACUGAUCCAUGUUGGUGGGAGUAUAGAAUGGUGCAGCCACUUUGGAAAUCAGCAUGGCGAUUCCUCAGCAAACUAGGAGUGGGGAAGUCCCAUUCAAUACAGCUAUUCACUUCCUGAGUAUUUUCCAAGAAAAACGGAAAUGGUCAUAUCACAGUGAUAUAUAUGCACCCAUUUUCAUAGCAGCACAAUUUGUAAUAGGUAAAUCUUGGAAACAACCAAAAUGCCCAAUAACCACAGACUGGAUGAAAAAGAUGUGGUAUUUUUAUACAAUCAAAUAUUACUCAGCAAUAAAAAUGGAUGAUCUUGAGGCAACUUGCGACUAUCCUCAUAAGUGAAAUAAGCAAGACUCACACUAGUAAGCAUCACAUUGUCUCACUAAUAUAAAAAAAUAAUAAAAACAGAGUAAUAAGAUCCAAAAUAUAUAAUUGAUAUUGCAAAAAUGAAAGGGAAGGAAAGUGCUCUAAAAGAUAUCUCUGUAUGUAUAAGUGUGUAAGAUAAAUGAACAUAUGACUAAAUUUUUGUUGGAUCAUUAAACAGAAUGGUUUACACCAUCAAUGUUUGUGUGUCUAUCUACUUUUUCUGCUUUGCUUUUGCAUCUUGAACAACCAUUUCUAAUGUGACAAUAUGUAACAUAUCAACUAGAGAGUUCUUAGUGUUAAUUUUUUUUGAAUUCUGUAUUAUCUUACCUUUUCUUCUAUUUUGUUUUUUUCUUUCUUUAAAUAAGUAAAAAAUAAAUAAAAUAAAAAGAAUCAUGACUCAUCUUCCAUGUAAAGAUAGAUAAAGCUUUCGGAUUCUAACAUCUAUAAUAUUAAUAAUGCUAUAAUACUGCAUCAAAUAUAAAAAUUGAACUCAGUUCAAAUUCUUCAGCCUCAUAUCCUGUCCAAAACUAAUCCUGCAUAUCCUGAAAGGCUGUCCUCUGGGCUCAGAAAGCCACCCAUGUUGUUUAGAAGUCUCACUUUUUACUGCCUUAUGUUUAUAGAGGCUGUUUAAGAAUCGGUCACUUCCCCAGUCAGUCCAUGAGAGCCCUGAGAUAUUAAGUCUCCUUUCUUCCUGAGUCCUUCUUGCACACACAAUGAGUGUAUACUGAAUGCAUAUUGAGGGGAUGAUGAAGAAGGAGCCCUCGUCUCCCAUCUCCAAGGAACUCAGGGUUUGGAAUACUUCACUCCAAGUUCAUCUUAACUUGAGAGUUUGGGCUGAAAAGUCUGCCAUGAAUCUAAUGGAUUUUCCUUGAUAGAAAGCUCCUUGGCAUUCAUUCUCUGUUGCUGUUUCUGAAGUUCCUCUGCAGAUAAUUCUGACUAUUCCUCCAUUAGUUCCUCACAAUCACCAGUGUCUACCUGCAAGCCUACCAACUCUGAAAUAAUGACAAUGUCUUCAACCACAGCUGCUAGAGGCCAGGCCACAGUGACGCCACAUCUCUGCAGCCCAGGACCCAGAGGCUGAGAAACCGGACUCCAGGAGGCUUGAGGCUGUGCUGGGCAGGAAAGGAAUGAAGCCAGGAGAACCUCAAAGUCCAGCCUGCUAGGAACCGACACCAAUAGAUGAGCAAGGAGUCCUGAAGCUUCAGUGAACAUGAUGAAGACAGAGGCGGUUCUGCACGCAGCCCUGAGCUCUGAAAGUAGCCUGCACACCUAUGACAUCGUGGCUGUGGUCAUCUACUUUGUCUUCGUCAUCGCUGUGGGGAUCUGGGCAUCAAUCCGUGCAAACCGAGGGACCAUUGGUGGUUAUUUCCUGGCAGGCAGGUCCAUGAGUUGGUGGCCGAUUGGAGCAUCUCUGAUGUCCAGCAAUGUGGGCAGUGGCUUGUUCAUCGGCCUGGCUGGCACAGGGGCUGCUGGGGGCCUCGCUGUGGGUGGCUUUGAGUGGAAUGCAACCUUCCUGCUUGUGGCCCUUGGUUGGAUCUUUGUCCCUGUGUACAUUGCAGCUGGUGUGGUCACUACGCCACAGUACCUCAAGAAGCGAUUUGGGGGUGAAAGGAUCCAGGUGUAUAUGUCUGUCCUGUCUCUCAUCCUCUACAUCUUCACCAAGAUAUCGACUGACAUCUUCUCUGGAGCCCUCUUCAUCCAGAUGGCUUUGGGCUGGAACCUCUACCUCUCCACAGGGAUCCUGCUCGUGGUGACAGCUAUCUACACCAUCACAGGGGGCCUCACGGCCGUGAUCUACACAGAUGCUCUGCAGACAGUGAUCAUGGUAGGGGGAGCCCUGGUCCUCAUGUUUCUAGGCUUUCAGAAGGUAGGCUGGUACCCAGGCCUGCAGCAGCUCUACAGCCAGGCCCUUCCUAAUGUCACAGUCCCCAACACCACUUGUCACCUCCCACGGCCAGAUGCCUUCCACAUGCUUCGUGACCCCGUGAGCGGGGACAUUCCCUGGCCAGGGAUCAUUUUUGGGCUCACAGUACUGGCUACCUGGUGUUGGUGCACAGAUCAGGUCAUUGUGCAGAGGUCUCUGUCUGCCAAGAAUCUGUCCCAUGCCAAAGGAGGCUCAGUGCUGGGGGGCUACCUGAAAAUCCUCCCCAUGUUCUUCAUCGUCAUGCCUGGCAUGAUCAGCAGGGCCCUGUACCCAGAUGAGGUGGGCUGUGUGGAUCCUGAUGUCUGCCAAAGAGUGUGUGGGGCCCGCGUGGGAUGUUCCAACAUCGCCUAUCCCAAGCUGGUCAUGGCUCUCAUGCCCAUAGGUCUGCGGGGCCUGAUGAUCGCGGUGAUCAUGGCGGCCCUCAUGAGCUCCUUCACCUCCAUCUUCAACAGCAGCAGCACCCUGUUCGCCAUCGACGUGUGGCAGCGUUUCCGCAGGAGGGCCACAGAGCAGGAGCUGAUGGUGGUGGGCAGGGUGUUUGUGGUGUUCCUGGUGGUCGUCAGCAUCCUCUGGAUCCCCAUCAUCCAGAGCUCCAGCAGCGGGCAGCUCUUCGACUACAUCCAGUCUGUCACUAGCUACCUGGCACCGCCCGUCACUGCCCUCUUCCUGCUGGCCAUCUUCUGCAGGAGAGUCACAGAGCCUGGAGCCUUUUGGGGCCUCAUGUUUGGCCUGGGAGUGGGCCUUCUGCGCAUGAUCCUCGAGUUCUCUUACCCAGCCCCAGCUUGUGGUGAGGUGGACCGGAGGCCAGCCGUGCUGAAGGACUUCCACUAUCUGUACUUUGCCCUGCUUCUCUGUGGGCUCACUGCAAUCGUCAUUGUCAUCAUCAGCCUCUGUACGACACCCAUCCCUGAGGAAAAGCUCACUCCCUUGACCUGGUGGACACGAAACUGCCCCACCUCUGAGCUGGAGAAGGGGGCCUGCGAGAGCCAGAGCGAGAGGGAGAGUGUGCCAGGGAGGUCUGAGAGACUGGUCCAGGAAAGCCUCUCAGGAAGAGUCGCCCCAGGGAACUGCAGCCAGGGCCCAGAGCAGCCCGGAGAUGCUGGUUUAGAAUCAGCAAGAGAAGAAGCUCCACUGACAGGCAGCAGGUGGAGGUUCCGGGGAGCAGAGUGUCUCCUCCUUGACUGCAGGGAGGUGCUACUGUGCACUGCUGUGUGAGCACUGCUUGCCGGCAGUGAGGCCACCAUUUGAAAGGCCUGAAGGAAUGUUUCUAUGGAUUCCAGAGUGCAAGUGAGUGAUCAGAUUAAGGAGGAUUCCUUCGGUUUCUAGUCUUGGGGGACGCCCCAAGGUUCCCCUGAGGAACAGCAGGAGCAACCUGCCUACGCGAACGUAGCUGUGUAAUGGCUACACUAGUUCAUGGUGGUGGAUGUGAAGUAUUUUGACCCAGCAUAAGAAAGUGACUAAUACAACAAAGCACAUAACUGGAAAAGAAACCAGCACACCUAAGAACUUCCACAGAAACCUAACCAAAGAGCCUAUUCCCUCCUCCCACCCCAGGAAUGACUUAGUUACCAGAAAAGCAGGUUACACAAAGCUGUAUCAUCCCAUGCUUGCUCCUCUGCACACCGUUUGGCCUUCUGCCUAAACACCAUGUUAUGAUGAAGUACAAGGCCCUCCCAUGUGGCCACCUGACCUUGUACUUCCAGCCUCCAGAACGGAGCCAAGACAAACAUCUCUUCUUUAUAAAUCACCCAGUCACAGGUAUUGUUAUAGCAGUGGAAAACAGAGUAUGACAACUGCUGACAGUUCAAGUUAGGAAAGACUGAAUAUGGACUUUGGAUAUUAGCAAUGGUGAGUAAUAACAUCAGCAUGAAUAACUUUGACAGAAUGAUAAAAGUUAAAUUCUGAAGUUGAACUGAAGAGAGAAUGAAAAGAGAGGAACUGGAUUCAUUUAACAAAUAUGUGAUUAUCAGUCACUGUUGUAAGUGUUGGAAUUACAAUAGUAAUCAAAGCAAUGUGCCUAACAGAUCAUCAUGUAGCAGUGCUAUUUAUUAAAUGUGAUCUUUAGGAAAACUUUAAUCCUUCUCAUACUCAUUUCCCUAACAUGUAAAACAGGCUUAAUAGCAGCCUAAUUUAUUUAAAGGAUCUUUUAUAACAUCUAGUAUAAAUUACACAAUAAAUUUAAUAUUAAAACACAAGUCCUAUGCAGCUUUUUGCUUCACCAUUACCACAAUUUUCACUGCUUUUCAGAAUUAUACCACUAUGUGAUGAGUCAGUAAGCAGCUGAGAGAAUCAAGUUUUCAUCCCAGAACCAAAGAGUACAUAGUUCAUAUGACUCAAUUUCAACCCCAAAUAAAUUACCAGCAAAAGGAUGGUCUAGACUGGUUUAAUAAAAGUUUUUGCAGUGUUAAGUAUUCACUGAAAGGAAGCAAAUCCACAGUGAGUAUCAAGACCAAGAAGCAGACAGCCUAUCAGUGGUCAACAGUGUAAGUGAAUGUGCUGAGAAUUAAUGGGAAGGGGUUGAGGCACUGGGCUUUCCCUAGUUAUCUCCAACAUUAGCCCUCAGACUACAGAAAGAGAUUUUCUCCUCAUUAAUUCCAACUCCAAUUUAGUCAUGUUGGCCAGUACAACACUUCAUUUUUCAUUAACCCUUUCUUUUUUUCUGAAGAAAGAAAGUCAAUAGAACAAGCAGAAUUACAAUCAAGGGCAGCAAAGAGGAAGGAGGAGAAUGACCAUCUCAACAGGGAGAAAGGAAAAGGCAAGAUGAACGAUGCUGAGGACCACACGCCCAUCUCCAUGGGAAAGUAACAGAGCAUAUCACAGAGGUGCUCAAUAAUAUUCAACAUUUAUUAAGGAUCUUCUAUGUGUAAAGAACUGAAGAAGAUAGAGAAUAACAUCAGAAAAUAUAAGCAACAUCAAGCUACAAUCCAGAAUGGAAGACAUAAAAAACAAGUAAUGGUAAAACAAUCAAAAUAAAUUAGAAUUAGGGCCGGGAUUUAGCUGAGUGGCACAAGCACCUGCCUGGAAAGUGCAAGGUCAUGAGUUCGAUCCCCAGUACCAAACAAACAAACAAACAAUAAAUAAAAUAAAAUAAAAUUAAGUGGAUAUAUAAGUAAGUAUAUAAUGAGAACAAAGCCAGAAAUGUAUUCUUUUCAUAAAAUUAGACUAUGUGUUUGUUUUGGAAAGUGUAAUAUCAAAAUGGAAGGCUAGGUUAUAUACUUUAAUAGUGGCAUAGACCUUUGAUAAGAAACCUUACCUUUAGAAGAGCUUUUCCGUAGCUUACGCGUUUCCCCUUAAGUUUAUUAUUUUUCCAAAAACCAAACAGAAUAUUAUCUCUGCCUCAUUACAAAAAAGUAUAUUUUCUGGAUAACCGCUUAUGAGUCCAAAUAACUAAGUUCAAAUCUCUGCUAGUGACAGGACCUAGAGCAAGUUAUUUGCCUUAUUUAAGCUUUGGCUUCCUUAUGAAUAUACUAGAAAAAUAAUCUUACAGAAUUAACCAAAAUUUAAAGGGAUAAAAUUACUGAAGACAUCUAACAGAAGGUUUACCUCAAGACACUAAUAUAUAUUUCCUGUUUAUAGCAUUUAUAUUUCAGCAUAAAGAGGCCUUUUUUUACCCUUUUAAAAAGUUCUUUGAAUUUAUUUUCUAUGAUUUUACAAAUACAAUACUUUCAAUAUUAUAAUGCUUCAAUUGUAUCCAGGUUUUAAAAUCUAUUUUUAAGUUUAUUUUAAGUUGUUACAGAUGAAAACAUUUUACAAACAGUUACAAAAGUUAAUAAACCAAACUAUGAUUAAUAGCAUACCUUUCAAAUCUGUGAUUUGGUUAUAUCACUUUUAAGAUUCCUGAAAUGGUGCUUAAACAAUAAACUAAUGUAUUAAAUCAUAUUCAUGACUAUGAAAUUUUUAUACUUAUAAGAACAUGAAAGUAAAAUUAAUGAAGCCAAGAGUUAAUUACUAAGUGUAUGUGAAAUAAGAAAUUCACAUAUCCUAGCAACAGAGAUACAGCUCAGUGCCACCAGUGCCUGCCUGGAAAGUGUGAAGUUGUGAGUUGGAUCUCCAGUACCAAAACAAAUAAAUAAAUAGAGAAAUUCACUUAUCCAACACAUAUGUACUGAAAGCCUACUUCAUGUCUGGAACUAUACACUGUAAUCUAAAAGUUCUCCUUUGUUUCAGGGCAGGAAAAUUAAGAAACAAGUAUUAAUUUAAACAGAACUAGCUGAGUAGUAGUUGCUAAAGUUUGUAGGAAGUAAGUUCAGUGUACAUACAAUAUACAGUAUGUCAAGAAGAUACUAUAAUUUUGAAAGAAAGAGAAAUAGAUAUAGAUAACUAAGAUCAGUUUCUAACUUCACUGAUACCAUUGCUUGGUGAAUCUUUAUAUAUCAGGCGAAUGAGCAAGUACUAUCUUAUUUGAUUUAAAAAUCCACACAUUCAGUAUCUGGUUUGGUUCAAGGAAGUUGUAUUUUGUACCAGAGCAUAAUUUAAAAGAAAUUCUAAAAAAAUAAAAAUGAUAAGAAAAUGAUUUCUAAAUAUAUCAGUUAUAGGGGGCGAAAGCCAUCUUCUAUUAAGCUACUGUUCAGUACAGACACAGAAUCAGAGACGGAGACAGAGACAGAGACAGAGACAGAGACAAAGACAUAUCACACAAAUGACUUUAAAUCUGCACAUCAACCUUACAAGGUAGGUAUACUUCACACAAGAGGAAAAUGAAGCAAA
This is an RNA transcript of Cavia porcellus (domestic guinea pig), 29423 nucleotides long. It is a transcript of the gene named sodium/glucose cotransporter 4, with no coding region annotated. The record is from RefSeq and is a predicted model, not a curated record. Lineage: Eukaryota; Metazoa; Chordata; Mammalia; Rodentia; Caviidae. The transcript is spliced from 22 exons.